UGGGCACUCUGAAUUGGCCUUAGGCGUGAGUGCGUGCGCGUGUGUGCCUUCAGACUAAAGGCUUCAGCGGAAGGUUGGGCGCCGAGCUGGCAACUCGACACCAGAAAACUCCACUGCCAAUCAUAAGUGGACCGGUGAUCCGCUGUGGCGACCUUUAACCGGGAAAAGCCGAAAAAAGAAGACGAAGAUUAGAGCGUGCGUUAUUACUAGACGUUUACCACUUUACAAAUCGGUUCCGUUGUUACUUGUAUUAAUUAUGUUAUCAGUUCCUCGCAUUGUAUUGCCAAUCCCAUCGUUGUGCAGCUUUCCAGUUGGUCUGACAUGUCCAGAACUGAAGAAGGGUCAUAAACAGAUGGCUGAAGAGAUAAUGCAGUGAAUCCUGUGAAUAUGAAGUCACAAUCUUUAAGGGCUGGAGCUUAUUUAAAAUGAGUUCCAAAAGUGUUUUGAGGUUAGGUUACAAUGACUUCUCACCCUCACCUAUGGAAUGGCUUGCAGGAAUUGCCCAGCUGUUGUCUGAAUGGCAUUGCCAGACGUGUCUGUUGGGUAUCACAUUAAAACCGCCACUGUUACCACCUUUACAACAUCUGAAUUGAGACUUGAACCCCACAGUAACUUCACUGGUCUUGUUAGGACUUUGGUUUCUUGUUGUCAUGGUAUGCACAGCAGUCUGAAGACUAGCAGUGUUAGCGAACAAGAUCGUACAAGUCAACCUGUAGCCAAGAGCAUGAGAUCAUGGAGCCUUCAACAUCAACAACAAUGCCACUGCAUUCUGCAUGCCAUUCAGUGUAAAUGUCAGACUUCCACCCCUGGAAGUAACUGAUGAAGCAUUUCAUUAGUCAAGACCUGGAAUCACUAAGGAGCAACUUUUAGCAGGUACAGAAAGGGGCAAAUCAGCUGAAGGCACAGAAGAAGCCAUCAAACUACUCACGGGAAAAAAGUAUCUGUUGGAAUUCACUUAGCACAAAUGAGGAGCGUCUGCCAUCCAAUGUCCCUGCCAUCAGAACAUCCUAUGAUGCUGAAAUGCACCAUCAGAUUAAGAUCUAACACAUGCAAGCAGGAAUAACCUAACCUGUAUAACUGUACACACAGCACACACAUUUAUCUGUUGUUCUGCACAAUGAGGCAAGUUGUGAAAUCCUGAGAGAAAUGUAGAGUCAGAUGCACAGGACAAGCAGAUAAUGUCAGCAUGCUCUUGGGACUGUGUGCACUAAUGCAACUACCUAUGUUUCAAGGACUCACACCUAAGGAAACGGCAAACAAAUACUGUCACCUUUUCCAAAGAGUGGCUAUACUACACUAUGGCUGCAGAUGGAGAGUAGGCCAGCAUACCAAAACUCAUAGGAAAGAAGACAACAGUAAGAUAGUGAAAUGGGAAGGAGGACAGGAGAACUGGAGAGCAAAUGGUAGGGUGGAUGAACUGGAAAACAGAAAGAGUAUAUGGAUUGCAGCAGAGAUAGGUCUACCAAAUAGAGCCAAGAGCCAGAAAGGACUCAAAUAUGGAGAAAAGUAAAUCUAAGAGAGUGCAGGUAUCAUAGACCAGACUGGAUGUCCUCUAAAAUAUUUAAAAAUCUAUGCAGUUUUGGUGAGUCCACUAACAAAGAAAUUCAGCAGGUUGUUAGUCAGUGAGAAAUUCAUAGAGUAUUUGACAAAGCUCAUGGUAACUCCAGUUUGUAAGAAUGAACCAGAAAAUUGUGGACAAUCAAUCUGACCACAGGAAUGUGUAAUGUGGUGGAUAAAGUUCUGAGGAAGAGACUGCUGGCAUGCCUGAAGUUAAAUAGACUCCAGGAUACUAAUUAUCAUGGCUUAACUUCCAAAAGAUGCUGCUGUUUGAAUGUGUUUCAUAUCUAUGAUUGGAUUACCUUGGAUUGGGAGAGAGAAAAUUGAGCUGCUCUAGGCUUUUUUUAUUUCAGAAAGUUCUUAGAUCUAGUGUCACACAGAAGACUACUGAACAAACCACAAUGGCUCCCUACUGGGGAAAAAUUAAUGAAAUGGAUGGAAAACGUUCGUAAUGGUAGGAUGAUGGAAGUGGUGGGGAUGGGCUCUCCAUUUUUGGAUAAAAUGGUAAUCGAUGAGAUGUUCUCAGUGUGCUUAUCUUAGACAUAAAAGUAGGAAAUGAAAACAGGAAAAAUAGGAGCAGCGGUUAAAAACAGAGAGGUGAGCCUGUCAAGACAUAUGCAAAUGUUAGCAAAAUGGAGAGACAUUGGCAGCUAGGGUUUAAUGGAAGCAAAUGUAAGGUGGAGCAGUUCCAUCACAAUAACCUGUGGGAAGAGAAGAAGCUGAGAAACUGACUAAGAAGUAGUAGUUCUAAAAAUGUCCAUGCUGUUCGGUCACGAAGUGCCCUGAGAACAAGCAGCAGACAGGGUAGCAUAUGCUGAAUUGCAUCAUCAGUGAAUAACACCAACGUUAAAGAUGUUUUAAUAGUCAGUAAGACUGUAGUGGGGCUUCAGCUGACGUAUUGUAUGUAGUUCAAUAGUUCACAGGUAAGAGUAAAUAGCUCUGUUAGAAAGAGUUUGGAAGAAGGCAACAUGGACAAUAAAGAAAAUGAUGGGGAAAAACUGCAUAGAAAGGUUGUGGAAACAAACUGUACACACCAGAAAGUAGAAGAAAUGGAGACAUGGUAAGGAUGUAUAAGAUCAAAAAAUGAUUCUGUGGAGAAACAGAAUUUAGGAGAAAGGACCUGUAUAUGAGGCAGGUUGGGCUUUAUCAACUACACAUUUAAGGAGCUAGUUUCAGUCUUGACAUAAAGAAGUAUUAGUUUACAGAAAAGGUGGUGGAAACAUGGAUUGGGCUACCAGAAAAGAUGAUGGAAAGUAAAACAAUAAAUUAAUUCUGGAGGGUGUGGGAGGUCUGGAAAAACAACAAGGUAAAAGUAUGGCAACAACAAGAGGUGCUACCAAUGCAUAUGGGUAGAAUAGCUGGACAGAUAAUGUCCUUCAGGCUGCACUAAUCUCAUGUGAUGUGAUGUCAUUCAAUAAACAUUGCUUCAAAGUUACUAUUACUCUACAUGUGCAGUAGAACUCCAAUAUAACAUACUUGUAGAACAAAGACUAAAUAUAACAUGUAUGUAGAACAAAGACUCUAAAUAUAAUAUACUUGUAGAACAAAGACUCCAAAUAUAACAUACUUUUAGAACAAAGAUUAAAUAUAACAUACUUGUAGAACAAAGACUUUAAAUAUAACAUACUUGUAGAACAAAGACUCCAAAUAUAACAUACUUGUAGAACAAAGACUCUAAAUAUAACAUACAUGUAGAACAGAGACUCUAAAUAUAACAUACUUUUAGAACAAAGACAGUAUCAUUUUUCCUAAAGAUGCCACCUAGAUCAUUCCACACAGUAUUUUACUUAUGAUGGGGUUUACCACUGUAUUCCAUGUGAUCAAUUGUGAUGGACUAGGAGGUCAUUAUAAUGCCAUGGUUUCCAUCAUAUUUCCAAAAUUCCAUAUAUUUGGAUAACAGUAGAUAUAGUCUGUGGAUGUCCUGUGUUCUGGAAUAUAGAGCUGUUGUAUCCCUUAUUAUAUAUGGCUUCUAAUACCUUCUGCCAGGUCUGAUUCUGUUUCCAUUCUAACUCAUAAUAUUGGAAAAUGAUCCUGCUAUAAUUCAGGAGAGUUGCACCUUUUACCAGUCACAGAUUAUUCUGAUGCUAGUGGCAUGGGAGUACAGUCCACAAAAAAACUUGUUCUACUUGAAACGCCAGAAACUCGAGAUGUUCCUGCACUUGGCAUCUACAAAUGUACUUACACUCAGUCCAGAUUAUUAAGAGACUGCUGCAACUUGUGAUAAAUACUGAAGUCUGAAGCUGAUCUAGAAAUUAGAUUCUCUGAAAACUAAAUCCCUAGCAAGGAAGCCUGAAGGAAUCCAACUUUGACAAACCUUGUGUUGUUGAGUCAUGUUACUCUCCUGACAUCAGAUGCCCACGCAUAGCAUGUAUUUCUCCAUGGGCAGUCCAACCAGCUAUUAACAGAAAAAAAUCUGCUGUUCUGGUCUGAUUCUGCUUAUGAUAUUAGCUCAUGUACAUGUUUUCAGUUAGCAUUGUGAAGUAACAAUUAAUGUGAAUAAAAACAGAGUUAUCAAUAAAAAGAUGUUUCCUGUAUUACAUAAUUCUAACAUUAUAUGGUUAGGGUAAUCCUAUCAUAAUUUGGGUGGAAUUGCAUUUAAGGCUGUUAGUCUAAGGAGUUACGAACACAGCAAGGCUACUCUAAAUUAGGAAAAUGAAUGCCUAAUGCCAUCAGGACUUACUUAGCAAGAUUAUAAUAAGAAAGCAAGAUUAACUCAGAUUUGCUGUGCCACAACAUGUAUUAAAAUGAU
Molecule: long non-coding RNA, 4306 nt
Organism: Protopterus annectens (West African lungfish)
Lineage: Eukaryota; Metazoa; Chordata; Ceratodontiformes; Protopteridae
Exons: 6
Source: RefSeq, a predicted model, not a curated record